RNAcentral lists this transfer RNA (69 nucleotides) under Sphaerodactylus townsendi. RNAcentral describes it as "tRNA-Ala". The record is from RNAcentral. Lineage: Eukaryota; Metazoa; Chordata; Lepidosauria; Squamata; Sphaerodactylidae.
GCCAUGGCUCAGUGGUACAGUAUCUGCUUUGCAUGCAGAGGGUCCCAGAUUUAAUCCCAAGGAUCUCCG